AUGACAUCAGCAGCAUCAUCACCACCAUUGUCAUCAUCAGCAGCAGCAGCAACACUAAAAUCAACAGAAAGAGACAGAUUGCAGACAGUUUGGAGAAAGAGACAGAGUUUACAGACAGAGUUUACAGACAGAUUACAGAGUUUACAGACAGAUUACAGACAGACCGACUUGAAGCUGAGCUGAAGGGUCUCGUCACUGAACAGGAAGCAAGAACUGAAAAGAUAACAGUCGACUCUCGCUUUGAGUCAUCUCUGACAUUUCCUCCGUUACCCCCAGACACAGAGCUCAGUCUGACACUCGGAGGGUCGCAGCCAACAUCGAAGAGAAACUUCUCCUCACGAUGUUCUCCUCCUCCUUCUUCCAGCUGUUCUCCUGGCUGCUCGGUGUGUUUCUGGUGUGUGGACUCUCUUUAGAGUGCCCUGAUCCUGACAAAGAGUAUCCUUGGCCCUCGAUAGUGGAAAGGAUGUGCUGUUCUAAAUGUAAACCAGGUACCAUCAUGGAUAUACGCUCACUCAAGACCUGUGACAUCAAGUGUGAUCCCUGCCCAAGGAACCAGUUCAUGGACUCCUACAACGUGAAAAUGGAAUGCAAUGAUUGCAGAAAAUGCGACAAACG
This is a long non-coding RNA of Acanthochromis polyacanthus (spiny chromis), 615 nucleotides long. RefSeq lists it as uncharacterized. The record is from RefSeq and is a predicted model, not a curated record. NCBI's taxonomy places the organism in Eukaryota, Metazoa, Chordata, Actinopteri, Pomacentridae. The transcript is spliced from 3 exons.